GGCCCUGUGGUGUAGUGGUAGCACGUCAGCCUCCGGUGGUUCAUUCUGUCUGCUGAAGAUCUAGGGUUCGAGCCCCUACAGGGUCG
Molecule: transfer RNA, 86 nt
Organism: Talaromyces islandicus
Lineage: Eukaryota; Fungi; Ascomycota; Eurotiomycetes; Eurotiales; Trichocomaceae
Rfam family: tRNA
About the family: Transfer RNA (tRNA) molecules are approximately 80 nucleotides in length. Their secondary structure includes four short double-helical elements and three loops (D, anti-codon, and T loops).
Source: Rfam